Molecule: transfer RNA, 72 nt
Filed under: Candidatus Nomurabacteria bacterium
Lineage: Bacteria; Candidatus Nomuraibacteriota
Description: tRNA-Phe
Rfam family: tRNA
About the family: Transfer RNA (tRNA) molecules are approximately 80 nucleotides in length. Their secondary structure includes four short double-helical elements and three loops (D, anti-codon, and T loops). Further hydrogen bonds mediate the characteristic L-shaped molecular structure. tRNAs have two regions of fundamental functional importance: the anti-codon, which is responsible for specific mRNA codon recognition, and the 3' end, to which the tRNAs corresponding amino acid is attached (by aminoacyl-tRNA synthetases). tRNAs cope with the degeneracy of the genetic code in two manners: having more than one tRNA (with a specific anti-codon) for a particular amino acid; and 'wobble' base-pairing, i.e. permitting non-standard base-pairing at the 3rd anti-codon position.
Source: RNAcentral
GCCUGGAUAGCUCAGUGGUAGAGCGCAGCCCUGAAGAGGCUGGCGUCGUCAGUUCAAUUCUGACUCCAGGCA